GAUGAACGCUGGCGGCGUGCCUAACACAUGCAAGUCGAGCGGAAAGACCAUCAGCUUGUUGCUUUGAUGUUAGGGGCACCGGCGUGAGGAACACGAGGAUAACCCCCCUAUAAGACUGACAUGACUUCGAGAAUGCGGAGCUAAGACCAGAUACUAUUUUGAUCCGCAGGGGUCAUCAGUAAGAGACGGUCUUUCUGUCGGUUAUGGAUGGAUCCGCGCUGGAUUAGCUAGUUGGUAAGGUAACGGCCUACCAAGGCAACGAUGCGUAGCCGAACUGAGAGGGUGAUCGGCGACACUGGAAGUGAGACACGGUCCAGGCUCCUACGGGAGGCAGCAGUAGGGAAUCGGACGCAAUGGGCGAGAGCCUGACGGAGCAACGGCGCGUGAGUGAUGAGGAUGUCGGGAUCGUAAAACUCUGUUAUUAGUGAUGAACAAAUGUGUAAGUUACUGUGCACAUCUUGACGGUAACUAAUCAGAAAGCCACGGCUAACUACGUG
Molecule: ribosomal RNA, 497 nt
Filed under: uncultured bacterium
Lineage: Bacteria
Description: partial 16S ribosomal RNA
Rfam family: Bacterial small subunit ribosomal RNA
Source: RNAcentral